UUCAUCCUGUCUCAUAUGCAUCAUCACCACAAUAGUCCUUUUGAUGAAACAUGUUAUAACAUGCAUUCAUAUAAUCAAAGGUUCACAUCUUCAACAUGACUGAAAUUCUACAGAAAACUUUGAACUGUUUUGCCAGGAGGUGGCGCUGUAUGACUUAAAGUGAGAGAGAAGAGACAUUGUCUUUUCAUUUUGUGAGUUUUUCCAACAGUAUAAUCCUGCAAUAUGAGUUGUAUGUUACAUGCAGAUUAAUUCUCUGUGUCAAUAUUGUUAUUGCGCAGGUCAGAUUUUGCCCUUAGGUUGAUGUUAUUUUGUCAGCUUAAAUGUCAGAGACUGACAUGUUUAAAUUUGAGCUGCAAGACAUUGUUACUUUGCUUCAGAUUUUAGUUUACUUUUGUUCACUUAAUUGGUUGCUUGCUCCUAUAGUUACUAUAAAGAGACAGAGACUGUGUGUGUUUUUUUUUUUUUUUUUUUUUUUGCUUGCAAGGUUCUCUAGAAAAAUGUGUUACUGAAUGAUAAUAUUAUACCAGAUAUUGUAUUCUGCCAGACAGAGGAGCUAUAUGAUUCACGUUUUUUUAUUACCCAGCACCUGCUAUAUUUGUGUUAGUUAUAUCUUUGGAAGAAAUGUACAGCAGUGAUUUUCAUAGUCACUUUUUUUCUCUUCACUGGUCAGGUCUUUAUUUUGAGAGAAAAACAGCCUAUCAGAGAAGAUAAAGUCUCAGUCUGAGGGUGGAGCAAAUUCACAAAGACUUGAACGUGUGAAAGGCUGGUUCAGAUGGAGUGAACCUGCUUUGAUAGCUUUACAAUCACUCUUCAUCACAAACCAUCAUGCUUCUCUUUUGGUGGAUAUCACUGUCAUUAUUGAUGGGAAAUUCCUUUGCUGACACAAUACAGCCAUUGUCUUCUGAACAACAUAUUUUCAGAGGUGACAAUGUGACUCUGUCCUGUAACUACAGUGGUUUUGUAAAUAACCUGCUAUGGUAUCGGAAACAUGUGGGAUCAAGACCGGAGUUCCUGAUACUUGUAAAUGAAAAUUCAUAGUCAUCUGAGGCUUCUCGUCGUCUGUCAGCAAAAGAUUCAAAAGACAAAAAACAAGUGAAUCUUACAAUCUCUUCUGCUGAGGUGUCAGACUCUGCUCUGUACUACUGCGCUCUGAGGCCCACAGUCACAGAAAGACCAGAAACACUGUACAAAAACCUGAUUCCAGUCAUGUGAUUCUGUACUGUUAUUCAUUUUACAGUUCAGUUUGACAUCUCAAUAAACAAUCAAACCCCUUCUUUAA
This is a long non-coding RNA of Ctenopharyngodon idella (grass carp), 1279 nucleotides long. RefSeq lists it as uncharacterized. The transcript has 2 exons. The record is from RefSeq and is a predicted model, not a curated record. NCBI's taxonomy places the organism in Eukaryota, Metazoa, Chordata, Actinopteri, Cypriniformes, Xenocyprididae.